GCCAAGUAUCCCAAAUAGAGUCUGGCAUAGAGAAGUCAAUAGAUGCUUGUGGAAUUGAAUCAGCAUGGACAUGAAGGCUGAAAGGGCCUCAGCCCUGAGAAGGAAUCAGAUCUGCCCAACCACCCCCAGCCGGAGGGAGCUGCUGGAGCAGCAGGUAGAAGAACUGGUGCCUGCCUUGCUGCGCUUGGACAAUCCGUUCCUAUUUGAAUUCCUAAAUGUUUUGGAGGUAUAUGGCACCCCUGAAGAGGUGCUGGACCUGCUGUUUGCAAAGUGAGCACCCUGACUCCACAGCCCAGGGGGAUGGGCCACCUACUUGUUGGGAGUCUUGGGGAAUGUUCCUGCCUUCCCGGCCCCUGGGGCUGCUCCUCCGACUGGAGUAGAGUCACGCAGGGCCUAGUCGGGUCCCGCAGGGCAGCCCCCGGGCCUGGCCUGUGACAGGUCGGCUAGAGGGGCUGUGCUUGUGCUCAGCAGUCGUCGUUCUGUCCCCAUGACGAAGCCUGUGCCGCCUCCCCACCAUCACCAGGGUCUUGAGCUGGCCUGUUUUACCAUGGAAAGGGAGUUUUGAGUCCAUCUGGGGUCUGUAUCCUGGGGCAUUCGCAGUAGGGGUCCCCGGGGACACCGGGGCGCCCAGGCCCACUUGGAUAUCGGCCAUGGGCCUGGCCGGAGCCCUUUCAUUCCUCAAGCAUUCAGGAAGCGCCAGCAGGUGCAGGUGCUUCUCCAGGAGCUGCCCAUGACCCCACGCACAGAGCUGACGGCCCCCCAGGGCUCCGGACUAGUCAGAGGUCAGAGGGUGACAGCAGCUAUGAGGAGAGAUCGGGUCCACAGGAGGAUUCCUGUGAUGCCCCCGCCCUCCUCUGGAUAUCGAUGCAUUGUAGCUUCCUGCAAGAAGGAAGGAAUCCUGGACCAGUGGGAAAUCUCCAUCUCCUGCAUCCUGGACAUCUGGCUGGACUACUUUCGGGAGGAUUUCAUCAGCCACCGGAAUUUCUCUCCCUGAGGAAGCUGCUGGCAUUCAUGGGGCUCAACACGCCAGGCUCAGACCUGGAAAACCGGGCCCAACGUUACCUGGAGCUCGUGGAAUUAGACGAUGAGGAUGAGGAGGACUGGGGUGGCCGAGCUGGGGACAGGAUGGGCCACACAGACCCAGCCUCCAUGCAGCUGGGCCGGGAGCACAGGGUAGGCUCACACCCCAUCCCCAUGGGCUGCAGUUUGGGGAGACCUCCCAGGGCUCUUGCACUCACACACCUUGAAUGGUGGGAAGAGUGUCCUUGAUUUGAGAGGGAC
Molecule: long non-coding RNA, 1281 nt
Filed under: Canis lupus familiaris (dog)
Lineage: Eukaryota; Metazoa; Chordata; Mammalia; Carnivora; Canidae
Description: lncRNA (ENSCAFG00000053889.1)
Source: RNAcentral